CAAAAAUAGAAUUUGUCACUAAACUUUGAAAAUGAAUACCGCCUACUUAGAAUUUCUGGUCGACAAGUUUGUUAGGGAUGUUCAAGCAGCGGAGCAGAUAUCUUCUGAGUUACCAUUGUUUUCUAAAUUUAAAGAAAUUAUGUCCAUUUUGCAGGAGAAAAAAAUCGUCCCCGAAAAGCUAAUUGAAAUAAAAGGCGAAUUACAAAAAAUCAACGAUCUUUUGGUUGAGGUCGAAGACAGACGGGGAAAACAAAAAUUUCAUCCCACUCGGACUGGUAAGGAUCUAUGGAAUUUAUAUAAAACAGGGCGGAGGCUUUCAACAAUCAGAGACAAAUUGAAGCGAGUGUAUGGAAAACCAGUGAAUGAAGAAGAACGUCAACCCAAAAAGGCAGAAGUUUUGGUGAUCGAGAAAAAAGAUCUGCCUGGAAUUUAUUUGCCCAAGUAUCGUGGAUUUGAUGAUCAAAUGGUGGAAAUUGAGAAUCUGCUGAGUAAAAACAAAGGCAACGUGGCAAUAGGAAGAGUGGGAAUUUACGGUUCGGGUAAAAGUGCGCUAGCCCGGAAGGUUAUUUUCAGCUCUAAUGUGGAGAAACUCUUUGAAUUGGUAUUGUGGAUAGAUUUAUCAGAGGUGAUAGGUUCAGAGGAGACAUACGAAUGCAUAAAAAUGGGAAAGACCUCUUAUGGUAAUGAGAGCUCUUCUGGUAAUGAUCUUCAUGCAUUGUUGUCCUCUCAUCUCUCUCCUGCAAAGAAGUGUUUGGUUGUUUUGGAUGGUGUUAGUGUUGCAUUGGAUGGAUUAAAGAGAGUGAUCGGAGAGAUUUUGGAUAAUGGUUCAGUAAUCGUUACAAGUACUCUACCAGAAGUGCACAAAACUCUUGUACCUGCAAAACAAAAGUUUCAUCUCCAUAGAUUAAGGGCCUACAAAGAGAGGAUUGUUGGCUUAUUUUCCAGGACAUAAUGAAAAGGAAAAGAUUGCACAAUCGGGAGGGAGGUCUGACUAUCGAAAUGGAAGAAAUGAAAGAAGAAAUUCUGGACUUUUGUGACGGACUCCCGUUGGGUGUGAAAAUUCUAGCAGAAACUAUUUCAAUUCGAAUUGCAAGGAAUUAGUAACUUUCUAAUCCAAUAUUAUGUUAUGUUCUCUCUUUAUUUGUUUAAUUACAUAAUCCUUUUAACAACGUUUUGUUGCAUUGUAGUGACUGGGGAAUCCCGGAGAAGGUGGUAUCAUCUAUUUCUUUGAUAAAUUAAAUUUUCCAUUUUUGAUUAGUUUUAAUUUGUCAAGUUGUGCUUACUAGGAAAUCAUCCUUGGACUCGAUGGAGAUGACCUUCGCAGCAGGAAAAUAACUCAUGACCAAGUUGCCCAAACUGACGGUCUCUCUCUCUCUCUCUCUCUCUCACACCCCCCCCCCCCCCCCCCACACACACAUUUGCAACACCUUUCUUGACUUGCAAUGCAAAUAAAUUGAAGUAUUCUAUAUUCCUUGUUACAUGCAGAAGAUGGUUUUAUUUAUCUAGAGAGAUCAACAGAUUCUGUUAGUCAAUCGAUUAGGG
This 1542-nucleotide long non-coding RNA is filed under the name Olea europaea subsp. europaea. Lineage: Eukaryota; Viridiplantae; Streptophyta; Magnoliopsida; Lamiales; Oleaceae. The record is from RNAcentral.